This 253-nucleotide ribosomal RNA is filed under the name uncultured bacterium. RNAcentral describes it as "partial 16S ribosomal RNA". It matches the Rfam family "Bacterial small subunit ribosomal RNA", at positions 524 to 776 of the family's 1533-position model. The record is from RNAcentral.
UACGUAGGGUGCGAGCGUUAAUCGGAAUUACUGGGCGUAAAGCGUGCGCAGGCGGUUUUGUAAGCCAGAUGUGAAAGCCCCGGGCUUAACCUGGGAAUGGCAUUUGGGACUGCAAGGCUUGAGUGCGGCAGAGGAGACUGGAAUUCCUGGUGUAGCAGUGAAAUGCGUAAAUAUCAGGAGGAAUACCGAUGGCGAAGGCAGGUCUCUGGGCUGACACUGACGCUCAUGCACGAAAGCGUGGGGAGCGAACAGG